CGUCCGACCACCAGUUGUGAGCCGCUGAAUAUCUUUACGAACUCGAGCUCGAGGCAAAGGGCUAGCUCAAGAGCGAUAACGACGGCCUCAUACUCGGCCUCGUUGUUGGUUGCUUCAAACUCGAACCUGAGAGCGCAUUGGAUCUCUGUUUGUUUGUCAGGGCUGAUGAUGAUGACCCCUGCGCCCGAGCCCGAGGAGUUCGAUGCUCCAUCCACAAAUAUUUGCCAAGUGUCCAAAUUAGUGCUCAUGCUAGAGCUGUCACCUGGCCCCUGAGGCCUAGGGGUUAGUUUUGCAAUGAAGCCGACUAGAGCUUGGGCUUUGAUAGAUGGGCGUGGUUUGAAUUCUAUGUCAAAUUCUCCAAGCUCGAUUGCCCAUUUCAUUAGUCUUCCCGAUACGUCCGGCUUCUGAAGUAUAUGCCUAAGUGGUUGAUUAGUGAGUACCACAAUAGGGUGAGACUGAAAAUACUGUCGGAGUUUCCGUGCUGCUAUAACCAAGGCAAGGGCAAGUUGUUCCGCCAAAGUAUACCUUGUUUCCGCAUCCAGUAGGACCUUGCUUACAUAGUAGAUAGGUUGCUGGACUUUGUUAACCUCUUUCACCAAGACCCCGCUGACUGCGUUUUGAGAUACGGCCAAGUACAAAAAUAAGGUGUCACCAGGCUCAGGCCUAGUGAGAAUAGGAGGAGAUGCCAAUGUCUGCUUGAGCUCCUGAAAAGCUUUCUCACAGUCUUUACUCCAAUCGAAGCCUUGGUUUCCUCUGAGGACUUUGAAGAAGGGAUAGCACCUGUCUGAUGCUCGGGACAUGAACCUGUUCAAGGCUGCUAUCCUACCUGUCAACCUCUGUACCUCUUUCUUGUUCCUCGGUGAUCCAUAGACGCCAAGGCUUGUAUUUUGUCAGGGUUGGCCUCUAUCCCCCGGUGAGUGAUCAUAAAGCCCAAGAACUUGCCCGAGGCCACACCAAAUGCACAUUUUGCGGGGUUCAAUUUCAUUUCGUACUUUCGCAAUGUGUCGAAAACCUCUUCAAGAUCUGAAAUAUGCUGGUCCACCUGUUUGCUCUUGACCACCAUGUCAUCAACGUACGCCUCCACGUUCCUUCCAAUCAAGUUAGCAAAGACUUUGUUGAUGAGUCUUUGGUAUGUUGCCCCUGCAUUCUUCAAACCGAAAGGCAUGACCUUAUAACAGUAUAUGGCGGAAUCGGCCAUGAAUGAUGUCUUUUCUUGAUCUUCCUCGGCCAUGAGGAUUUGAUGAUAACCAGAAAAUGCUUCCAAGAAGCUGUACAACUUAUGUCCGGACGUGCUAUCCACCAAGUUGUCAAUCCGUGGUAGGGGAUAACUAUCCUUUGGGCAUGCUUUGUUAAGAUCUGUGAAGUCAAUGCAGACCCUCCACUUAUCAUUGGCCUUCUUUACUAAAACAGCAUUGGCAAGCCAAUCGGGAUAUUGGACCUCCCGAAUGAACUAAGCACUUACGAGUUUGUUAAUUUCUUCGCGAAUGACCUCCCGGCGUUCCGGGGCAAACUGUCUUUUC
This 1520-nucleotide long non-coding RNA is filed under the name Olea europaea subsp. europaea. The record is from RNAcentral. Lineage: Eukaryota; Viridiplantae; Streptophyta; Magnoliopsida; Lamiales; Oleaceae.